UUGGUAGCCCUUGUAUGGUAUAAUUAGUGGCAGACGGGUGAGUAAUGUAUAGGAAUCUACCUAGUAGUACGGAAUAAUUGUUGGAAACGACAACUAAUACCGUAUACGCCCUACGGGGGAAAAAUUUAUUGCUAUUAGAUGAGCCUAUAUUAGAUUAGCUAGUUGGUGGGGUAAUAGCCUACCAAGGUAAUGAUCUAUAGCUGAUCUGAGAGGAUGAUCAGCCACACUGGAACUGAGAUACGGUCCAGACUCCUACGGGAGGCAGCAGUGGGGAAUAUUGGACAAUGGGCGAAAGCCUGAUCCAGCCAUGCCGCAGAGUGAAGAAGGCCUUUGGGUUGUAAAGCUCUUUUAGUGAGGAAGAUAAUGACGGUACUCACAGAAGAAGUCCUGGCUAACUCCGUGCCAGCAGCCGCGGUAAUACGGAGAGGGCUAGCGUUAUUCGGAAUUAUUGGGCGUAAAGGGCGCGUAGGCUGGUUAAUAAGUUAAAAGUGAAAUCCCGAGGCUUAACCUUGGAAUUGCUUUUAAAACUAUUAAUCUAGAGAUUGAAAGAGGAUAGGGGAAUUCCUGAUGUAGAGGUAAAAUUCGUAAAUAUUAGGAGGAACACCAGUGGCGAAGGCGUCUAUCUGGUUCAAAUCUGACGCUGAAGCGCGAAGGCGUGGGGAGCAAACAGGAUUAGAUACCCUGGUAGUCCACGCUGUAAACGAUGAAUGUUAAAUAUGGGGAGUUUACUUUCUGUAUUACAGCUAACGCGUUAAACAUUCCGCCUGGGGACUACGGUCGCAAGAUUAAAACUCAAAGGAAUUGACGGGGACCCGCACAAGCGGUGGAGCAUGUGGUUAAUUCGAUGCAACGCGAAAACCUUACCACUUCUAGACAUGAAAAUCAAA
RNAcentral lists this ribosomal RNA (887 nucleotides) under Wolbachia pipientis. RNAcentral describes it as "bacterial SSU rRNA". It matches the Rfam family "Bacterial small subunit ribosomal RNA", at positions 68 to 997 of the family's 1533-position model. The record is from RNAcentral. Lineage: Bacteria; Pseudomonadati; Pseudomonadota; Alphaproteobacteria; Rickettsiales; Anaplasmataceae.